ACGCGAAGCUCCCUUCGGGGAGCAAGUAGAGUGGCGCACGGGUGAGUAACACGUAGGUAAUCUACCUUUGGAUGGGGAAUAACCACCGGAAACGGUGGCUAAUUCCGCAUAAUGCAGCGGCACCUAAUGGUGACAGUUGUUAAAGCGGGGGAUCGCAAGACCUCGCGUCUGAAGAGGAGCCUGCGGCAGAUUAGCUAGUUGGUAAGGUAAAGGCUUACCAAGGCGAUGAUCUGUAGCCGGCCUGAGAGGGCGGUCGGCCACACUGACACUGACAUACGGGUCAGACUCCUACGGGAGGCAGCAGUCGGGAAUUUUGGGCAAUGGGCGAAAGCCUGACCCAGCAACGCCGCGUGAAGGAUGAAAUCCCUCGGGAUGUAAACUUCGCAAGAACGGGAAGAAUAAGUAAGAGUUAAUAUCUCUUAUGAUGACGGUACUGUUUGUAAGCUCCGGCUAACUCCGUGCCAGCAGCCGCGGUAAUACGGGGGGAGCAAGCGUUG
This 497-nucleotide ribosomal RNA is filed under the name uncultured bacterium. Its description in RNAcentral is "bacterial SSU rRNA". It matches the Rfam family "Bacterial small subunit ribosomal RNA", at positions 66 to 543 of the family's 1533-position model. The record is from RNAcentral.